RNAcentral lists this long non-coding RNA (407 nucleotides) under Stegodyphus dumicola. RNAcentral's name for it is "uncharacterized LOC118181096, transcript variant X1". Lineage: Eukaryota; Metazoa; Arthropoda; Arachnida; Araneae; Eresidae. The record is from RNAcentral.
CUAUUAUUAUUUGUUAAUAUGUUUUCCUCGUUGUUGUUCUGGCCAUGGUUGCCGUUGCUUCUGCUCAGUUGAUCACCAGCGGAGGAGUUAAGGACUGGGCUGGAAAUUACUACGAUUUCACUACCGGCCAAGUGGCCAGCUCUGCUACUGGACGAGUCUACAACACUGGUGUUCUUCCCAUUCCAUAUGCCGCACAUCAUGCAGUGCUUCUCUAAAGAUGAAGAUGGCAACUUCCAUUAAAAAAUUCUUCAAACACCUGGAUGUUCGAAAAAGUCAAAAAUAGUUUCAACCUUACAGUCACAGUAAUUUCAGUGUGUUCUUAUGAUUAGAUAAAUCUGAUGCAUUUUUUUAAAACACUGCAAAACAUUGCUGUAAAAUUUUAAAAAAAUAAACUUUUUUAGAAAGCA